UCUUCGUAGGACCUAUGUAGCGAGGACCCGAUGCCAGGUCCAGUGGACAGACUUCAGACGUCUCUGUGUGUCCGGUCCUGUCUCUGGUUGCCUGGUUACAGACGCUGCUGCACCCGCAUGUUUAAAGAUGUCUACGCCUGAAACUCCACCACAUUCAAAGAAGCAAAAACGUUUGCAAAUGUACAGACUGGAGUGGGAAGAGUGGAACUCCUGGCAAUGGAUACAAGGCAAACUGUGUUUUCUGUUGCUCAUGGACUGGCUGAAGUAAGGCAGCAUCAGGAGACAAACAUGGAGGAAAUAUGAGAACAGAGAGAACCCAACCAGCAGGUCACAGUUUAUCAUCAUCUAAUCAUCUCCUGAAGUCCAUAUGGUCCCUCUCUAUCUCCCCACACAUCCACCAACCACUGGAACACAUCUCCAAAGUUCUGCUGGGCCAGCUCAGCUUCCCCUCAGAAGAAGUGCUGCCACCUGCCAGAUGAAGGAGCCUUUUGAGAGGCAGCUGGCAUCGUGAUUGGACUGUACUUUGGUCUGUUCCAAUCCAGCUUCAGCUCCAGAGACGGCAGGCGGGACGAGUCAACGGAGGCCUGGUGGACGAAGGCAUGCAGCUGAGUACAAUCCAGAAAACAACAGAGGAGGAGUGCAGCGGCCCAGAGCCAGAACAAGCAGAGUAGCAUCGUAUGUCUCUGAGAAAACAUCAUAGUAUAGCCUUUGACCAAAGAACUACAGACUCUUCACAACCUGCUCAAACUCUUGGUACAGGACCUCACCACACGGGUCAAGAAGGUUUCUGUCUCAUUUCUACUCUGAAGCUCACCUUCUCCUGCUCAAACUGCUGACAAAUGUUUCUGCUGCUCUAAAGUCUGCUCUCCAGAACUUCCUAAAAACUCUCAAAGUCUCUUCUGCUGCAGGUUGCUUUGUAGAACUGUUGCAGAAAACCUCACUAAACCACAUGGAGGGGCCUCAAGAUAGUCGUCCAAAUGAAACCGUACAAAAACCAAACUAGCACAACCCAAAUGCUAAAGUCUCCUGCAGCCUACCAGAGAACCUCUGAGAACAGAGAAUCAGGACAGGAACUCUUACCUUCUGGACAACCAACGCUGGUUCACAAACAAGAAUACAGAAUGUGUCUGACCAAAAACCUCUAAAGACUCACUACAGCCAAGAUAAAGACACAACUCAGCUGCACCAAAUCCACUAAUCACUGCACACAUUAGCACCAUGUGCUAACUGUGGCUAAAGAACCACAUUUACCAAGACAACUAUCCAGUACAGAGCCCUAAAACACACCAAGAAACACAUUAAAGACGAUUUUACUGCUGGAAGCUGCAAGUCAACACCUAAAGAACAGACUAAAGCAACGGAGCCAAACCCAGUUCAGUGCUGAAGAGAAACAGAGGAAAUGUUUGUCUGCAGCUAAAUAAAGCAGGAAGACACUGAGCUGCUCAGGUGUUCCUGAUAACACCAAGCAGCCACCUGGACAGCCAAUAGGAACACAGCUUCCUGGAAGUCCAGAGGGUUGGGUUAGUGAAGGAAAUUUAGUUUAAAGUUGAAGCAGAAAGUUAAUAAAGAAAGUUGAAAACCACCUUCUGAUCCCUGAAAUCUCUGAGUUUUCACACAAAGAACACCUGAACAUGUCAAACUGGUUCCAUAGUAGAACCAUCAUUGUAAAAACGUCAUAGUAUGGUGUGUUGCUCAAAAAACAUUAGGACCCGGCUGUCAGGGUACAAACAUGUAAGAAACAUGAGAACAGAGAGAACCCAACCAGUAGGUCACAGUUUAUCAUCCCCCAGUCAUCUCCUGAAGUCCAUAUGGUGAGAGACAUCAGUAUCUGGUUGUUAAUUUACCAGAGGAUGCUUAUAAUCAUGCAGAUGUGGUCUGUACUCUACAGUAUUUUAGUGACUCAAUAAAUGCCUAAGUCAACCCGCCCGGCCAGCAGGCAGAUGGUUCCCCCACAUUAGAGCCGGGUUCUGCUCGAGGUUUUUUUCCCUGUUAAAAGGGUGUUUUCCUGCCACUGUCGCCUUUUGGCUUGCUCUGGGGGUUCAGGCAUAUUGGUUCUGUAAAGCGUCUUGAGACAAUUUGACUGUAAUUGGUGCUAUAUAAAUAAAAUUGAAUU
Molecule: long non-coding RNA, 2113 nt
Organism: Amphiprion ocellaris (clown anemonefish)
Lineage: Eukaryota; Metazoa; Chordata; Actinopteri; Pomacentridae
Exons: 3
Source: RefSeq, a predicted model, not a curated record